UACGUAGGGACCGAGCGUUGUCCGGAUUCAUUGGGCGUAAAGGGCUCGUAGGCGGUUUGUCGCGUCGGGAGUGAAAACCUUGGGCUUAACUCAGGGCUUGCUUUCGAUACGGGCAGACUAGAGGUAUGCAGGGGAGAACGGAAUUCCUGGUGUAGCGGUGAAAUGCGCAGAUAUCAGGAGGAACACCGGUGGCGAAGGCGGUUCUCUGGGCAUGAUCUGACGCUGAGGUGCGAAAGCGUGGGGAGCAAACAGG
Molecule: ribosomal RNA, 253 nt
Filed under: uncultured bacterium
Lineage: Bacteria
Description: partial 16S ribosomal RNA
Rfam family: Bacterial small subunit ribosomal RNA
Source: RNAcentral